UGGGGAAUCUUGCGCAAUGCGCGAAAGCGUGACGCAGCAACACCGCGUGAGGGAAGACGGCCUUCGGGUUGUAAACCUCUUUCAGGAGGGACGAAGGGCGGCCGGUGAAUAGCCGUGCCGCUUGACGGUACCUCCAGAAGAAGCUCCGGCUAACUACGUGCCAGCAGCCGCGGUAAUACGUAGGGAGCAAGCGUUGUCCGGAAUCAUUGGGCGUAAAGCGCGCGUAGGCGGCCCGAUAAGUCCGCUGUAAAAGUCAACGGCUCAACUGUUGAAAGCCGGUGGAUACUGUCGGGCUAGAGUACGGAAGAGGCAAGUGGAAUUCCUGGUGUAGCGGUGGAAUGCGCAGAUAUCAGGAGGAACACCUAUAGCGAAGGCAGCUUGCUGGGACGUUACUGACGCUAAGGCGCGAAAGCGUGGGGAGCGAACAGG
RNAcentral lists this ribosomal RNA (429 nucleotides) under uncultured bacterium. RNAcentral describes it as "bacterial SSU rRNA". It matches the Rfam family "Bacterial small subunit ribosomal RNA", at positions 355 to 776 of the family's 1533-position model. The record is from RNAcentral.